Molecule: non-coding RNA, 445 nt
Organism: Leptonychotes weddellii (Weddell seal)
Lineage: Eukaryota; Metazoa; Chordata; Mammalia; Carnivora; Phocidae
Source: RefSeq, a predicted model, not a curated record
CUCCGUCCGCGAGUCCGCCAAGACUGGCUCUGGGCAACCUCUGCAGCCUCCCGGGUUGGAGGCUGGGCAGCGGUGGAGGCCGCUGGGUUUGGGGCUUUGCGCUGCCCGGUGGUGGAGCUGCGCUCGGGUGGUUAAUAGUGCCAGUCAGGGCAGGAGGAGCACCAACAACCCAGGCCGUGAGGGCCCUGGUAAAUCCCUGGACGGUGCAAGAACCUCAGGAUGUUUUGGGGACCUUGAGAAGAGGAAUUCGCCCAAAUCUACAGACAACUGCUUCCCUCAAUCAGCUAUUGUGUCUUUUCAGACCCCAUUAACAAACUCACUAGCUGUCCCUGCAGAAGCCUGGACUCAAGGUCAGCUGAUAAUGGUUCCAGCCUGUGAACAAACAAGGCUCUGCAUUCCUUACCGGAGACAACAAGUCUAAGACCCUAUCCAGAGAGAGAGAGAG